AGGAAGCCAACCGCGAACACUUGUGAAGC
RNAcentral lists this small RNA (29 nucleotides) under Bombyx mori (domestic silkworm). RNAcentral describes it as "ovarian small RNA-12162". The record is from RNAcentral. Lineage: Eukaryota; Metazoa; Arthropoda; Insecta; Lepidoptera; Bombycidae.